RNAcentral lists this ribosomal RNA (634 nucleotides) under uncultured organism. Its description in RNAcentral is "eukaryotic LSU rRNA". The stretch from base 11 to 165 matches the Rfam family "5.8S ribosomal RNA". The record is from RNAcentral.
ACUAGAUAGCAACUUUCAGCAGUGGAUGUCUAGGCUCGCACAUCGAUGAAGAACGCUGCGAACUGCGAUACGUAAUGCGAAUUGCAGGAUUCAGUGAGUCAUCGAAAUUUUGAACGCAUAUUGCACUUCCGGGUUACGCCUGGGAGUAUGCCUGUAUCAGUGUCCGUACAUCAAGCUUGGCUUCCUUCCUUCCGUGUAGUCGGUGGCGGGGACGCGCAGACGUGAAGUGUCUUGCUGGCCGUGAGGCGGGCGAGUCCUUUGAAAUGUAAGAUACUGUUCUUCUCUUUGCUGGAAAAGCGUGCGUUGUGCGGUUGUGGAGGCUGCCGUUAUGGCCAGUCGGCGACUGAUUUCGUGCUGAGGCGUGUGGAGAGGAGCUCGAUUCGCGGUAUGGUUGGCUUCGGCUGAACUUCUGCUUAUGGUGCUGCUUGUCUGCUGUUUCGGCGUAGCGGGGUCGGUGAACCGUAGUCGUGGUGGCUUGGCUUUUGAACCGUGCGAUUGCUGCGCGAAGUAUGGUGGCUUCGGCCGAGAGGACGACCUAUUUGGGACGAUUGUGCGGCUUCGUGCUGCAUCUCAAUUGGACCUGAUAUCAGGCAAGAUUACCCGCUGAACUUAAGCAUAUCAAUAAGCGGAGGAA